GAUGAACGCUGGCGGCGUGCCUAAUACAUGCAAGUCGAGCGAACAGACGAGGAGCUUGCUCCUCUGACGUUAGCGGCGGACGGGUGAGUAACACGUGGAUAACCUACCUAUAAGACUGGGAUAACUUCGGGAAACCGGAGCUAAUCCCGGAUAAUCUAUUGAACCGCAUGGUUCAAUAGUGAAAGACGGUUUUGCUGUCACUUAUAGAUGGAUCCGCGCCGCAUUAGCUAGUUGGUAAGGUAACGGCUUACCAAGGCGACGAUGCGUAGCCGACCUGAGAGGGUGAUCGGCCACACUGGAACUGAGACACGGUCCAGACUCCUACGGGAGGCAGCAGUAGGGAAUCUUCCGCAAUGGGCGAAAGCCUGACGGAGCAACGCCGCGUGAGUGAUGAAGGUCUUCGGAUCGUAAAACUCUGUUAUUAGGGAAGAACAAAUGUGUAAGUAACUAUGCACGUCUUGACGGUACCUAAUCAGAAAGCCACGGCUAACUACGUG
Molecule: ribosomal RNA, 497 nt
Filed under: uncultured bacterium
Lineage: Bacteria
Description: partial 16S ribosomal RNA
Rfam family: Bacterial small subunit ribosomal RNA
Source: RNAcentral